CAUAGCGUAUAUUAAAGUUGUUGCGGUUAAAAAGUCUCGUAGUUGGAGUUCUGCCAGGUGCCACCUGUCCGCCCCAGUGGUGAGUACGUGGUGCGCAUUUGGCCCUUUCAAGGGGAGCGUAUUUGCACUUAAUUGUGUGGUGCGGGAUCCUUGACUUUUACUUUGAGGAAAUAAGAGUGUUCCAAGCAGGCUCUCGUCGUGCAUAGCUCAGCAUGGAAUAAUAGCAUUGGACCUCGAUUCUAAGCUGUUGGUUGCCAGAAGCGAGGUAAUGAUGAAGAGGGAUAGUUGGGGGCAUUCGUAUUUAACUGUCAGAGGUGAAAUUCUUGGAUUUGUUAAAGACGGACUACUGCAAAAGCAUCUGCCAUGGAUGUUUUCAUUGAUCAAGAACGAAAGUUAGGGGAUCGAAGACGAUCAGAUCCCGUCCUAGUCUUAACUAUAAACCAUGCCGGCUAGAGAUCGGAGGUUGUUCUUUUUGUGACGCCUUCAGCAUCUUGAGAGAA
Molecule: ribosomal RNA, 500 nt
Filed under: uncultured marine picoplankton
Lineage: Eukaryota
Description: SSU rRNA
Rfam family: Eukaryotic small subunit ribosomal RNA
Source: RNAcentral